This 508-nucleotide ribosomal RNA is filed under the name uncultured bacterium. RNAcentral describes it as "partial 16S ribosomal RNA". It matches the Rfam family "Bacterial small subunit ribosomal RNA", at positions 28 to 507 of the family's 1533-position model. The record is from RNAcentral.
GACGAACGCUGGCGGCGUGCUUAACACAUGCAAGUCGAACGGGCCUUGUCCCCUUUUUUUUUGGGGGUGGGGUUAGUGGCGAACGGGUGAGUAACACGUGAGUAACCUGCCCUUCACUUCUGGAUAACGGCUUGAAAGGGUGGCUAAUACGGGGUAUUCUGGCCUGCUCGCAUGGGUGGGUUUGGAAAGAUUCCACGGGUUUUGGUGUCUUUGGUGGGGGAGGGGGUCGGGGCCUUUACGACUGUUGGUGGGGUGGUGGCCUGCCAGGGCUUUGACGUGUCGGGUGCCUGAGGGGGUGCGCGGUCACAGUGGCACUGAGACACGGCCCAGACUUAUAGGAGGGGGAGGAGGGGGGAAUAGGGCACAGUGGGCGAAAGUCUGAUGCAGCGACGCCGCGUGAGGGAUGGAGGCCUUCGUGUUGUGAACCUCUUUCGCGAGUGAAAAAGCUCCUGCUCUUUGUGGUGGGGUUGAGGGUGGCUGGGUUAAUGAAGCGCCGGCUAACUACGUG